GGAUGUGAGGGCUAUCUGGCUGCGACAUCUGUCACCCCAUUGAUCGCCAGGGUUGAUUCGGCUGAUCUGGCUGGCUAGGCGGGUGUCCCCUUCCUCCCUCACCGCUCCAUGUGCGUCCCUCCCGAAGCUGCGCGUUCGGUCGAAGAGGACGGCCUUCCCCGAAUAGAGACGGACAGGUCUUCGGUCGAGGGUAUACGAGUAGCUGCGCUCCCCUGCUAGAACCUCCAAACAAGCUCUCAAGAACAUCUAGAUAUUUUAAAAAGGAAGGCAAGUUUGGGUAUCUAGCCUAUUUCAUUAGAAAAGAAAU
RNAcentral lists this small nuclear RNA (307 nucleotides) under Erinaceus europaeus (western European hedgehog). RNAcentral describes it as "7SK RNA". It matches the Rfam family "7SK RNA". From Rfam's summary of the family: 7SK was discovered as an abundant small nuclear RNA in the mid-70s but a possible function has only recently been suggested. Two independent studies have found that 7SK RNA binds the CDK9/cyclin T complex (known as elongation factor P-TEFb). The record is from Rfam by way of RNAcentral. Lineage: Eukaryota; Metazoa; Chordata; Mammalia; Eulipotyphla; Erinaceidae.